UGGGCUUUUUUACCACUGAAGAGAAGGUAUUUUCUGUAUAAUACCAUUAUUUCCCAUCAGUAUGUAACAACCAUUUGACUCAGGAAGUUAGAGGUCAGCAGUUUGAUUUCUGGAUUCCUUGAAGACAUUUCUUAAAAUAAAUACAUAAAUGUUUUUCAAAUUUUCAUAAUAUUUGGGAUUUUAAUUGGAUGUGUGAAUACUCCUUGCUGGAAUAUCAAGCCUCUGUAAUUAAUUUAGAAAUGUCUCUGUAAGCACUCAGGUAUGAACUCCAUCCCUUCAUAAAGAGAUAAAUGAAUCCUGUGCAUCUGAUGUGAGGAAUCUGGUCUCUGAAGUUUCUCUGUGGAAUUGUGGGGCUGGAAUUUCAUUCAGUACCUGAUAACUGCACCACUUCAGCUCCUCCUUCCCCGUACAUUUGAACAUCCAGCAAUGCAAUCACCAAGACGGCAUUGCAAAAUAAAUGAUAUAAAGGUAUUGAUCCUACCUGGAGACAUGAGAAAAGGCUAUCUGAUCUUUGGAAGCCCUUCCUACACUUCUUUUACAAGAUUAGAGAUUAAAUUCACAUCCAUUGCUCUUAUGGCAAGAGGCAGGGCAAAGCAAUAUUGCAACAUGAACGGCCAUGCUUGGUUCUUCAGGAUGAUGGAAAAAGCAGCAGGAUGGGCAGCGUGUCCCUGUGUGACUGGGAGUCCUUAGGGAUGUCCAAGCGCAUUGGGGCCCCUGGCAAUCUGUGCAGGAUGAAUCCCAGUGGAGGACACCCCCCAUGAAGACCUGACAGGGGGCAGGAACACAACCACACAACCCCACCUCGGGAGUGGUGAUUAUUGAAUACCCCCGUGUUGGACAGGAGAAGUUUAUCUCAGCCCUUCCAGCUCUGAAAGCUACAUUCGGAAUUCAUCUGAAUGGAAAUAUUUUGGAGAAUGAGAAGGAGCAAAAUAGAUUUCUCGCCUUUGCUGACAACCCUGUGGUUUAACAGUGGCCUUGGACACAAAAAGCCCAGGAUUAUGUUCCUCCUCUAGGUUACUCUGAGUAAUCACAUCUACAAAUCAGUGGUGAAAAUGAGUAAUUUUUGAUUCAGGUUGAGAAAAGAACUUCAGUCUGGGUCUUUUAGUGUCCCUGGCUCUUACACCAUUUUCUCCAGGAAAAGAAACAAAAGCAAACCAAACAAAACUAAACACGAAGACAUGAAGUCUUGAAAAUUAAUGAAGCAUGGAAUUAUUGUCCUCCAGUCAGCUUUAAUUGCUAGUGCAACAAUUGAUGAUUAGAAUUCAAAAAUUCAUAUCCCACAUGUAUUCCUCAAUUUUUGUUUAUAAUUUGUCAUCCCAGCAGAUCCUCCUUACAGUAAGUUUAUUUAUCAAUGUUCAUGGAAAGUAGAGCCCAAAGGGGAUGUAAAUCCAAAGUAAGUGAAUUUGUUUAAAUAUUUAAAUCAACAUUUGUGUGAUGUAUUAUUCUAGUUCCAGUCAGCAUUCUGAGUAAAGUAAGAUGAAAAAUAAUUUUCAGAAGAAUUUUUUAAAGAUGGAAAUUAAUUACAAUUCAAAUGC
Long non-coding RNA from Passer domesticus (house sparrow), 1535 nucleotides. RefSeq lists it as uncharacterized. The record is from RefSeq and is a predicted model, not a curated record. The transcript is spliced from 3 exons. NCBI's taxonomy places the organism in Eukaryota, Metazoa, Chordata, Aves, Passeriformes, Passeridae.